CCUACGGGAGGCAGCAGUGGGGAAUAUUGCACAAUGGGGGAAACCCUGAUGCAGCGACGCCGCGUGGGUGAAGAAGUAUUUCGGUAUGUAAAGCUCUAUUAGCAGGGAAGAAAAUGACGGUACCUGACUAAGAAGCCCCGGCUAACUACGUGCCAGCAGCCGCGGUAAUACGUAGGGGGCAAGCGUUAUUCGGAUUUACUGGGUGUAAAGGGAGCGUAGACGGCAAAACAAGUCAGAAGUGAAAGCCCAGGGCUCAACCAUGGGACUGCUUUUGAAACUGGAGUGCUAGAGUGUAGGAGAGGUAAGCGGAAUUCCUGGUGUAGCGGUGAAAUGCGUAGAGAUUAGGAGGAACACCAGUGGCGAAGGCGGCCUACUGGACUGUAACUGACGUUGAGGCGCGAAAGCGUGGGGAGCAAACAGGAUUAGAUACCCCGGUAGUC
RNAcentral lists this ribosomal RNA (440 nucleotides) under uncultured bacterium. RNAcentral describes it as "partial 16S ribosomal RNA". It matches the Rfam family "Bacterial small subunit ribosomal RNA", at positions 338 to 795 of the family's 1533-position model. The record is from RNAcentral.